Myotis lucifugus (little brown bat) is the source of this 309-nucleotide unclassified non-coding RNA. Its record names the gene 7SK. It matches the Rfam family "7SK RNA". From Rfam's summary of the family: 7SK was discovered as an abundant small nuclear RNA in the mid-70s but a possible function has only recently been suggested. Two independent studies have found that 7SK RNA binds the CDK9/cyclin T complex (known as elongation factor P-TEFb). P-TEFb activates transcription by phosphorylating the C-terminal domain of RNA polymerase II. The record is from Ensembl. NCBI's taxonomy places the organism in Eukaryota, Metazoa, Chordata, Mammalia, Chiroptera, Vespertilionidae.
GGAUGUGAGGGCGAUCUGGCUGCGACAUCUGUCACCCCAUUGAUCGCCAGGGUUGAUUCAGCUGAUCUGGCUGGCUAGGCGAGUGUCCCCCUCCUCCCUCACUGAUCCAUGUGCGUCCCUCCCAAAGCUGCGCGCUCGGUCGAAGAGGAGAGGACCGGUCUUUGGUCAAGGGUAUACGAGUAGCUGCGCUCCCCUGCUAGAACCUCCAAACAAGCUCUCAAACUCAGAUCUAAAAUCAGCUUGUUGCCCAGCCGGAGUGGCUCAGUGGUUGAGCUUCGACGUAUGAACCAGGAGGUCACGGUUUGAUUC